UUACCUGGCCUUGACAUACUAAGAACUUUCCAGAGAUGGAUUGGUGCCUUCGGGAACUUAGAUACAGGUGCUGCAUGGCUGUCGUCAGCUCGUGUCGUGAGAUGUUGGGUUAAGUCCCGCAACGAGCGCAACCCUUUUCCUUAUUGCCAGCGGGUUAAGCCGGGAACUUUAAGGAUACUGCCAGUGACAAACUGGAGGAAGGCGGGGACGACGUCAAGUCAUCAUGGCCCUUACGGCCAGGGCUACACACGUGCUACAAUGGUCGGUACAAAGGGUUGCUACCUCGCGAGAGGAUGCUAAUCUCAAAAAGCCGAUCGUAGUCCGGAUCGCAGUCUGCAACUCGACUGCGUGAAGUCGGAAUCGCUAGUAAUCGCGGAUCAGAAUGCCGCGGUGAAUACGUUCCCGGGCCUUGUACACACCGCCCGUCACACCAUGGGAGUUUGUUGCACCAGAAGUAGGUAGUCUAACCGCAAGGAGGACGCUUACCACGGUGUGGCCGAUGACUGGGGUGAAGUCGUAACAAGGUAAGCGUAGAUGA
RNAcentral lists this ribosomal RNA (538 nucleotides) under uncultured bacterium. Its description in RNAcentral is "bacterial SSU rRNA". It matches the Rfam family "Bacterial small subunit ribosomal RNA", at positions 971 to 1509 of the family's 1533-position model. The record is from RNAcentral.